Molecule: non-coding RNA, 1528 nt
Organism: Salvelinus sp. IW2-2015
Lineage: Eukaryota; Metazoa; Chordata; Actinopteri; Salmoniformes; Salmonidae
Source: RefSeq, a predicted model, not a curated record
AAUGCUCUGUUUUGUAUGUGUCAAGUCUAUUGAGGUGGGCACAGGUUACAGUUUGUAUGUGCCAAGUCUAUUGAGGUGGACACAGGUUACAGUUUGUAUGUGUCAAGUCUAUUGAAGGGGGCACAGGUUACAGUUUAGGCUUAAAGCCUGUUUUGUAUGUGUCAAGUCUAUUGAGGGGGGCACAGGUUACAGUUUAGGCUUAAAGCCUGUUUUGAAUGUGUCAAGUCUAUUGAGGGGGGCACAGGUUACAGUUUAGGCUUAAAGCCUGUUUUGUAUGACAUAUUAUAAGUGGUGUCCAGUACAGCCUAUGACAAAGCUUAUAAUUAAAUGUAUUGAUAGUUUGGCUUCUUUGACUAGUGAAAUUAUAUUCUCCCAGACAUUCUCCCAGUCAAUAGCCUCAUCAUCAUCAUCAGACAUAUACUUUACCCAUGAUUUAACCAUUUGGAAGAUAUUUUUUUGCUUUAGUAAUUGAAGAUGAAAAUAAAUAGCAGACACCAAACCUCUGGACAAGUUCCCAAAUUUGUACCUAAUGGGACACCAUAGGCACAAAGUGCAGACUGUAGACUAAGGUAAAAUAGACAAAGAUCCUGGAAACUAGGGAGACCCUCUUGAGUUAAAUACAUCUCCUCGAUUUUUGAUCCCUUUUGCAGUCCAGGCUUUUGGCUCAAAUGGUUUAUUACCUGAAAGUAAUAGCCUUGUUAUGCCGUGGAGGGGUAUAGAGAUGCCACUUCCAGUUACCACCUACAUMAUCUCUCAUGGACAGAUCUAUGUAAACGUAUCUAUGGUACCAUAGAAUCUGUCUGGAAGGAACGGGGCGUGUGUGAUAACGAACGGCAGUAGGUCUGGUGUUUUGGAGUUUUCGUCACUGGUUAUUUGGACAAAUCACGAUGUCGCAGAUGUUUUAGCGUCUUCCGAAUUUCGAAAGGCGAGGGGACAUUCGAUUCGUCACUAGUAAAGAGAGAGGGUGAAGCUCCUCAUUUUCUAGAAUCUCUUAAUCCAUUUCUCUUAACACAUAUGGACCUAGAAUUGUAAUCGUGCAGCUGACCAAUUACGCAAAACUUUAGUUCUGGAUUAACGAAUUUGACCAUUUACACACUUCUAAACAUUCCUCAAAUUCUUUACUGCAUUAGAGAUAAUAGAACAGUAAUACACUAUAACAUGCAUUCCACAUUAUACUAGAAAAAUAACACAUCUUUCUAUCUAAUAAAAGGGGAAACUAGUUCCUUUUCAAUAAUUACCAAGAGACUGGUGUAGACUGAAGAACCAUGAUAUAAGUGAUCGACCAUAAAGACGUCCACAUGCAACCCAGCCUUAACAGGUCCUUGUAGUACCACAAACCGGACCUUUGCCAUUCCAUAAAGGUAUUUAUGUACAUGUUUAUUGUGUACGUUUACAUUCCUGCUGACUGUCCGUCACGAAAGAGGAUUUUAAGAUUUUGGGGGAAUACGAUGAUUAACCAGGUAAGCGAGCAGGUUUUAUUACCAGCGAUAUGCGAUCUGAUCACUGAUAAUAAAGGCUUUACCCUGAA